Molecule: ribosomal RNA, 200 nt
Filed under: uncultured eukaryote
Lineage: Eukaryota
Description: partial 18S ribosomal RNA
Rfam family: Eukaryotic small subunit ribosomal RNA
Source: RNAcentral
GCUCCAAUAGCGUAUACUAAAGUUGUUGCAGUUAAAAAGCUCGUAGUCGAAUGAUGAUUCUUUUGUUGGCGCGGACGCUUAGGUGUAACUUAAGAUUGUCUGUGCCAAGAAUCACCUUGGUGUGGUACGAAUUUAGUAGAAAUAUUCUACUAUUAUUCGCCACACACAUUACUGUGAACAAAUAGAGUGUUCAUGGCAGG